This is an RNA transcript of Phoenix dactylifera (date palm), 3628 nucleotides long. It is a transcript of the gene named phytosulfokine receptor 1-like, with no coding region annotated. The record is from RefSeq and is a predicted model, not a curated record. Lineage: Eukaryota; Viridiplantae; Streptophyta; Magnoliopsida; Arecales; Arecaceae.
AGCAAAGAGGCGUCGAAACUAAUCUCCUCCCUCUCCCUCUGCCCUUCUCUCUGGUCUUUUUCACCUUUUAUUGUUUUGUGCUUUAUUUCUCUUCUUCUUCUUCUUCUCUUACGCCACGGAUUCCUCUUUUCCUUUAUAUCUGCUCUUCACGCGCUCUGCUUUGAUGGUGGAAUCCCAAAACUCCCAGAACAGUGAGAAUCUCCGAAUGGAUUUUCCCAGCCAUAGAUUUUGAGCCGGAAAAGACCCUCCUUUACCCCUUUCAUCCCCUCCACUGGCUCCGGGCACUGGCUGAAAUGGGAAACUGGGGAGGCUUCUCGGCGCCGCUGUCGAUGUCGACAUGGUGGUCCUGCUGCUUGCUCUUGUUGUUCCAAGCUGUACUCGGUUAUUCUCAGAACCAGAGUUGCGAUUCUAAUGAUUUGAGUGCCUUGCGGGGCUUCUUAAAGGGCUUGGAUUUUGGUAUCCCGGGGUGGAGCCUCAAUGAGUCUUCCUCCAGUUGCUGCAAUUGGUCUGGCGUCCGCUGUGAUUCGAUUCGUAGCCGGAGAGUGAUCGGGUUGGAUCUUUAUAACAUGAGCUUGAAAGGUUCCAUCUCCGAUUCUUUGGCCGGCUUGGAUCAGCUGAAAAGUUUGAAUCUUUCGAGCAAUCUGCUCCAAGCAUCGGUUCCUCAGAAGUUGUUCCAUCUUCCUCGCCUGGAGCUUCUUGAUCUCAGCUUGAACAACCUCUCCGGAUCGAUUCCUUCUGAUCUGAGUCUCCCAUCGAUUCGGGUUUUCAACAUUUCCGACAAUUCCUUCACCGACAGCCACCCGAUCCUCGCCGGCUCGAGAAAUCUCACCAAGUUUGACGUCAGUGCGAAUGAUUUCUCCGGUGCCAUCAAUCCAGGUAUCUGUAACUCCUCAUCUCGAGUUCAAGUCCUUAGCUUUUCGAUGAAUAAGUUCUCCGGCGGCUUCCCGGUGGGCUUCGGCAAUUGCCGCUCUCUCGUCGAGCUUUCGCUCGCUAUGAAUAGGAUCAGUGGAACUUUGCCUGAUGAUUUGUUCACACUGUCAUCUUUGACUCAAUUAAACCUUCAAGAGAACUCGUUAUCCGGCCCGGUGGGCUUCAAACUUGGUAAUCUUACCAAACUUGUUCAGUUGGAUGUUUCAUCGAAUAGCUUUUGGGGGCCGAUUCCUGAUGUCUUUGAUCGCCUCACAAAACUAGAAUGUUUUUCUGGUUGUAGCAACAAUUUUACCGGUAGUUUACCAGCUUCUUUGUCUAAUUCUUCGAUGCUUAGUGUUCUUAAUUUGAGGAACAACUUUCUCAGAGGAGGGAUCCAUCUCAAUUUCACCGCACUGGCUAGGCUCAGCACCCUUGAUCUUGGCUCCAAUUUGUUUUCUGGCCUUAUCCCUUAUGAUGUCCCUCAGUGUGUUGAAUUGAAAACCAUAAACCUUGCAAGAAACAAUCUUGCUGGUGAAAUCCCCCACAGCUUCCAGAACUUUGUUGCACUAUCUUACCUCUCACUCACCGGAAAUAACUUCUCUAAUAUAUCAUCAGCACUGCAAAUCCUACAGAGUUGCCCCAACCUUACUAGCUUGGUGCUUACUAAGAACUUCCAAGGUGGUGAAAUAAUGCCUUCUGCUGGGAUUGAAGGAUUUCAGAAGAUGGAGGUUCUUGUGAUCGCAAAUUGUCUUCUCUCCGGUUCGAUUCCACCCUGGUUGGCAAACUCGACCAGAUUGAAGGUCUUGGACAUAUCAUGGAACCACUUGGGUGGGAACAUCCCUUCAUGGUUAGGAAAUCUGGAGUAUCUCUUUUACUUGGAUAUUUCAAAUAAUUCACUCACCGGGCAGAUUCCUGAUAGCCUGUCAGAAAUGAAGAGUCUCAUAUCUAGCAACGUAACGCAGCAGGGGUUCUCGAUGCCGGAUUUUCCGUUCUACAUCAAACGGAAUUCGACAGGAAAGGGAUUGCAGUAUAAUCAGGUCAGCAGCUUCCCACCAUCAUUGAUUCUGUGUCAUAACAAGCUUGUCGGACCAAUCUUACCAGGCUUUGGGAACCUUGUGAAGCUGCAUGUGUUGGACCUAAGCUGGAACAAUCUCUCAGGAAUUAUACCUGAGGAGUUGGCAGGCAUGUUGAGCUUAGAGUACUUAGGUUUGUCGCAUAAUAAUCUCAGUGGAAGCAUACCAUCCUCUCUGACCAAGCUGAGUUUUCUGUCAAGUUUCAACGUAGCUUACAACAAUCUAGUCGGAAAGAUCCCGAUGGGAGGCCAGUUCUUGACAUUCUCGAGUGAUGAUUUCAUAGGGAACCCAGGUCUCUGUGGCAUUCACUUGUCCCCUUGCUCGCCCAACACUCCUUCAGAAUCAGUGAGCAGACGAGGGAAGAAUAAAGGCGUUGUUGCAAGCAUGGCACUUGGAAUUGGAUUAGGGACUGUUUUUAUUCUCACUGUUAUCUACUUUGCUGUGUCAAGGACUAAUUCUAGAAGACAAGAAGACAAUGCCAAGGUGGUGGCAGAUGCCGAUGAAAGCUUAGAAUCUGCUGGGUCUAGUUUGGUGCUUCUGUUUCAAAACAAGGACAACAAGGGGCUUAGCAUCAAUGAUAUCAUAAAAGCUACCAACAACUUUGAUCAAACUUAUAUUAUAGGCUGUGGAGGAUUUGGUCUAGUCUAUAAAGCAACUCUACCAGAUGGGAGGAAGGUUGCUAUCAAACGGCUUUCUGGUGACUACUUUCAGAUGGAGAGGGAAUUUCAAGCUGAGGUGCAAGCCCUGUCUAAAGCUCAACAUGGGAAUCUUGUGUUGCUUCAAGGAUACUGCAAGAUUGGCUAUGAUAGACUCUUGAUCUACUCUUACAUGGAGAACGGGAGCUUGGACUAUUGGCUUCAUGAGAAGAUUGAUGGGGGUGCUAUGCUGGAUUGGAGAACAAGGCUCCGUAUAGCUCAAGGAGCAGCAAGGGGAUUGGCAUACUUGCACCAAUCUUGCGAUCCCCAUAUCCUGCACCGUGAUAUCAAGUCAAGCAACAUCCUCCUUGAUGAAAAUUUUGAAGCUCAUUUGGCAGAUUUUGGUCUCGCGAGGCUUAUUCUGCCUUACGACACCCAUGUGACGACGGAUCUCGUUGGGACCUUGGGCUACAUUCCUCCUGAAUAUGGACAGUCUUCUGUUGCCACUUUUAAAGGUGAUGUGUACAGUUUUGGAGUUGUUCUCCUGGAGCUGCUUACUGGUAGGAGACCUGUGGAUAUGUGCAAACCAAAAGGCAGCAGGAAUGUUGUACCAUGGGCGCUUCAGAUGAAGAAGGAGAAGAGGGAAGCUGAGGUGUUUGACCCAUGCAUAUAUGAUAAGGAGCAUGACAGCCAGUUAAUUAAGGUGCUUGAGAUUGCAAGUCUGUGUGUAAGCGAGUCUCCUAGACUGAGGCCUCCAACACAACAGUUAGUUGCAUGGCUUGAUAACAUUGGCACUGAUGGCCAACCGACAAAAUGAGGCAAUUUCUUAUAUUUCUAUAGUGGAGCUAAGAUCACCACAGGCAACAAUAUACACAUGUAAAGCUCUUUCUUUUCUCAAGAAGAUUUUCUUCUCAUCAUCGGGACAAGAUGGAAUCCUCGUGAAGCUUGGUCUCUUGUUAGAGCAUCCAUGAUAGUAAUCAAAUUUUAAUGGAAAUGGUACAUUUUUUUGUA